GCAGUAUAUUAACUGUGCAAAGGUAGCAUAAUCAUUUGUUAUUUAAUUGAUAACUUGUAUGAAUGGUUUUAUAAAAUAUAUUCUUUUUUUAUUUUUUAUUUAUAAUUUUAUUUUAAAGUCAAAAAGCUUUAAUUUUUUUAUUAGACGAUAAGACCCUUUAAAACUUUAAUUUUUAUUUAAAUAAUAUUUAUUGAUUUAUAUAUAUUAAUUUUAUAAAUAUUUUUGUUGGGGUGACAGUUAAUUUUUAAAAACUUUAACUUUUAUUUAUUUCAUUUAUUUAUGAUUUUCUUGAUCCAAUAUUUUUGAUUAUAAGAUUAAGUUACUUUAGGGAUAACAGCGUAAUUUUAUUGGAGAGUUCUUAUUAAUAAUAAAGUUUGCGACCUCGAUGUUGGAUUAAA
This 398-nucleotide ribosomal RNA is filed under the name Orius laevigatus. RNAcentral describes it as "partial large subunit ribosomal RNA". The record is from RNAcentral. Lineage: Eukaryota; Metazoa; Arthropoda; Insecta; Hemiptera; Anthocoridae.